GAAAGGUGAAAAGCUCCCCCGAGAGGGAAGUGAAAUAGUACCUGAAACCGUGUGCCUACGAUCAGUGGGAGCCGCAAGGUGACCGCGUACCUUUUGCAUAAUGAGUCAGCGAGUUGUCCGUCGUGGCAAGGUUAAGCCGUUAGGUGUAGCCGCAGGGAAACCGAGUCUGAACAGGGCGUUCAGUCGCGGCGGACAGACCCGAACCCAGGUGAGCUACCCAUGGCCAGGGUGAAACGUUGGUAAAACUUCGUGGAGGCCCGAACCCACCGACGUUGAAAAGUCGGGGAUGAGCUGUGGGUAGGAGUGAAAGGCUAACCAAACCUGGAAAUAGCUGGUUCUCCCCGAAAUGUAUUGAGGUACAGCCUCGAAUGAAUACCUUCGGAGGUAAAGCACUGAAUGGGCUAGGGGUCUACCAAGGCUGCCAAACCCAAUCAAACUCUGAAUUCCGAUGAGUACUGUUCGGGAGUGAGACGGCGGGAGAUAAGUUUCGUCGUCAAAAAGGGAAGAGCCCAGACUGCCAGCUAAGGUCCCUAAAUGUGUGCUAAGUGGUCAAGGAU
Molecule: ribosomal RNA, 557 nt
Filed under: uncultured bacterium
Lineage: Bacteria
Description: bacterial LSU rRNA
Rfam family: Bacterial large subunit ribosomal RNA
Source: RNAcentral